This is a ribosomal RNA of Nematostella vectensis (starlet sea anemone), 154 nucleotides long. RefSeq annotates it as 5.8S ribosomal RNA. The record is from RefSeq and is a predicted model, not a curated record. The transcript has a single exon. Lineage: Eukaryota; Metazoa; Cnidaria; Anthozoa; Actiniaria; Edwardsiidae.
AACUCUGGACGGUGGAUCACUCGGCUAGCGUGUCGAUGAAGAGCGUAGCUAACUAUGUGAAUUAGUGUGAAUUGCAGGACGCCUUGAACAUCGACAUCUUGAACGCACAUUGCGGCCAAAGGGAUUCUCUUUGGCCACGCCUGUCCGAGGGUCG